This 87-nucleotide transfer RNA is filed under the name Planctomycetota bacterium. Its description in RNAcentral is "Planctomycetes bacterium tRNA-Ser". It matches the Rfam family "tRNA". Rfam says of the family: Transfer RNA (tRNA) molecules are approximately 80 nucleotides in length. Their secondary structure includes four short double-helical elements and three loops (D, anti-codon, and T loops). Further hydrogen bonds mediate the characteristic L-shaped molecular structure. tRNAs have two regions of fundamental functional importance: the anti-codon, which is responsible for specific mRNA codon recognition, and the 3' end, to which the tRNAs corresponding amino acid is attached (by aminoacyl-tRNA synthetases). tRNAs cope with the degeneracy of the genetic code in two manners: having more than one tRNA (with a specific anti-codon) for a particular amino acid; and 'wobble' base-pairing, i.e. permitting non-standard base-pairing at the 3rd anti-codon position. Lineage: Bacteria; Pseudomonadati; Planctomycetota. The record is from RNAcentral.
GGAGAGGUGGCAGAGCGGCCGAUUGUGCAACACUGGAAAUGUUGUGUCUCCGAAAGGGGACCGGGGGUUCGAAUCCCCCCCUCUCCG